Molecule: ribosomal RNA, 396 nt
Filed under: uncultured bacterium
Lineage: Bacteria
Description: partial 16S ribosomal RNA
Rfam family: Bacterial small subunit ribosomal RNA
Source: RNAcentral
AUACGUAGGUGGCAAGCGUUGUCCGGAAUUAUUGGGCGUAAAGCGCAUGUAGGCGGUUUGGUAAGUCGGUCGUGAAAAUGCGGUGCUUAACGCCGUAUGGCGAUUGAAACUGCUGAACUUGAGUGCAGGAGAGGAAAGGGGAACUCCCAGUGUAGCGGGGAAAUGCGUAGAUAUUGGGAAGAACACCGGUGGCGAAGGCGCCUUUCUGGACUGUGGCGGGCGCUCCGAUGCGAAAGCCAGGGUAGCGAACGGGAUUAGAUACCCCGGUAGUCCUGGCCGUAAACGAUGGUUACUAGGUGUGGGAGGUAUCGACUCCUUCCGUGCCGGAGUUAACGCAAUAAGGAUUCCGCCUGGGGAGUACGGCCGCAAGGUUGAAACUCAAAUGAAUUGACGGGG